AAAUUGAAGAGUUUGAUCAUGGCUCAGAUUGAACGCUGGCGGCAGGCCUAACACAUGCAAGUCGAACGGUAACAGGAAGCAGCUUGCUGCUUUGCUGA
RNAcentral lists this ribosomal RNA (98 nucleotides) under Pseudomonas aeruginosa. Its description in RNAcentral is "partial 16S ribosomal RNA". It matches the Rfam family "Bacterial small subunit ribosomal RNA", at positions 1 to 94 of the family's 1533-position model. RNAcentral also lists the same sequence under 23 other names. The record is from RNAcentral. Lineage: Bacteria; Pseudomonadati; Pseudomonadota; Gammaproteobacteria; Pseudomonadales; Pseudomonadaceae.